This is a long non-coding RNA of Monodelphis domestica (gray short-tailed opossum), 2262 nucleotides long. The record is from Ensembl. Lineage: Eukaryota; Metazoa; Chordata; Mammalia; Didelphimorphia; Didelphidae.
GCGGAGUGGGCAGGGCCGGGCUGGAGGGGGCGGGGUGACUAAAGGAGCAUGGAAAUUCAAGGAACUGGGGGAUUCAAGUUGCCGGUACUGGAAGCGCCAGGAGGACCGGGCUGUAAGAAGACUGGGCUGAGUUCUGCACUUCGGGGUGGAACUAGUCGGACCCAAGAUUAAAGAGCAUAGCAGGAAAAGGGAAGACUAUUUUGCUGAUGAAAGAUUAAAGCGGGCCUGUACUGGGCGGAGCGAUGCAGCGGUGAGAGGAUCAUCAGUCUAUUGGCUGAUGAAGUUUGCUUGAGAACAGCUGCAGUAGUCUUUCCACGGUCUGAGGACGGAAGCAAUCUCGAUGUCUCCAUCUCUCUGUCUCUGGCUUCUCCUGUGUUCUCUUAGUAACCUCACAGGCACCAUUGUCUCAGCAGUGGAGAUAUCCUCUCUGAAUGGGACCGUGGGAAAAUCUAUCCUGCUCUGUAUAGCCACAGAUUAUGGAAAUGAGACUCGGUCAAUUGAAUGGAUUGAUAAGACUCGCAAUCAACUCCUGUUCAAGAUCCAGCCAGGAGAAAGUGAGUCAAACUGGACUACCGCCCAGGACACAUACAAAGGGAGGCUGUCUGUACAUGAUAUGCGUUGUCUGAAGAUUGAGAAUCUGACCUCUGAAGACAGUGGUCUCUAUGAAGUAGAAAUCAAGUUGAACACUGGAGAAAUAAAACCUCAGAUCUUCAACGUGACUGUGUCUGGCACUGUGACUACAGGAUCCAACAUGAAACCACGGAAUUACUGGAUCUCAAUUGGCAUCCCAGUGGGUAUAGUCUGUGUUGUCCUCCUAGGGAUCGGAGUCCUGCUGUGUAAAGGUUAGAACCCAUCACCACUCCCUUGCUAUCGUCUGAUGGUGACACUCUCAUAAAGAUAAAAAAGGCAUCAGCAACAGGUGGAAAGAACACUUCAGUCAGCUCUCAACUGACCUUCUUCAGUCGACCAAAGAGCCCUUGACCAGAUCCCCCAAAACCGCACCAUUGAAAAACUUGAAGUCCCUCCUUCAAUAGAGGAAGUCCAAAAAGUGAAGGGAUCCCAACCGAGGUAUACAAGGCCUUAAAUGGAAAGGUACUCCAGGCAUUCCACAUAGUGCUGACCAGCAUAUGGGAAGAGGAAGACAUGCUCCCAGAACUCAGAGAUGCCUCCAUCAUAGCCCUAUACAAGAACAAAGGCUCACGAGCAGCCUGUGACAAUUACAGAAGCAUCUCACUACUCUCCACUGCUGGAAAGAUCCUCGCCUGUGUCAUACUCAACAGACUCCUGUCAUCUGUUUCAAAGCAGAACCUGCCUGAAUCACAGCAGGCAGGCACAGCCAGGCACUCGGGCGGCUGCGCUCCAAAGUCCUCCAACACAGUGGUGUAAGCACUGCGACGAAGCUCAAAGUGUAUAACGCAGUGGUCCUCAGCUCGCGCCUGUACGGUUGCGAGACAUGGACACUGUACCGGAAGCACAUGAAACAGCUGGAGCAAUUCUACCAAUUUUCUCUCCGAUCAAUCAUGAGGAUCCGAUGGCAGGACCGAAUCACCAGUAAGGAAGUCCUCGACAGAGCCAGCAUCGAAGUCCUGGUCCUCAAAACCCAGCUACGAUGGUCUGGACACGUCAUCCGCAUGGACCCACAGCAAAUACCAAGACAGGUAUUCUAUGGUGAACUGUCAGCUGGACCAGGAAACAAGGCCGACCAAAGAAAAGAUUCAAGGAUCAGCUAAAGUCCAACUUGAAGUGGGCUGGCAUUACACCAAAGCAACUAGAACUCGCUGCCUCUGACAGAAGCAGCUGGCGAACCCACAUUCACCAUGCCGCCACCACCUUUGAAGAUGAACGACGUCGACGUCUUGCCGCUGCGCGUGAACGCCGACACCAGGCCACAACCGCACCUCCCAUAACAACUGGCGUCCCAUGCCCCAUGUGCCACAAACUCUGCGCCUCAGCCUUUGGACUCCAAAGCCACAUGAGGGUACACCGUAGAAGAAAACGCACAAAGACAAUAGUCAUUCUUGGACACCGAGAGACUACUACUUAUAUCCUGCAAUUAAAGUUCCAAAACAAUUACUUUAAAAAAAGAGAAUACUCAGUCCCUAACUACAUAUCUUAACCUAGUCUUUAGUAUCAAAAGGGGGAAAGUAGGAACUAAGAGAUGGAACUUUUAGAUUUUCCUGGCCAGUAGAAUGAAUUUUUUCUCUUCUGUGAUCCUCACCUUCUCCUUUAGAAAAUAAAGUUCUAACUAAGAUAGAAUACCCA